Molecule: small RNA, 815 nt
Filed under: Pan troglodytes (chimpanzee)
Lineage: Eukaryota; Metazoa; Chordata; Mammalia; Primates; Hominidae
Description: retained intron
Source: RNAcentral
UGGAAAGCGCCGUUCCUGACUCUAAUGUACUUAGACACUUGAAGCCACAAAAGGAUUUAUCCCCGAGGUUCCUCAUCUGCUCGCGAGGAUGCCUUUUCUCUUCUGCCUUGCGAAAUAACAGCAGCCUAGCUGUUGCCCGUGACCAGUGAGGAAGGCAGCGUCGCGGGCUGAUUACGUUUCACCCAAAGGGUGCCGGCGCCGAAUUGGUUUCUAACGAGAACUUUAAAAAUGAUCCGUUCCAAAAAAGGGUAGGAGCCGCGAGACCCUCCAACUGCCCAGAGAAAACAAGUCUCGUCUGGCAAAGUUCUCGGCCCACGCGGUCCGCGGCCAAGGGCCAACGGUCCCUCGCCCCACGUUGCCGCAGCACUGCGCGUGCGCGAGCCGCUGUCAAACGCGCUGACGGAGGCCGAGAAGAAAAAAAGGCGGGAGCCGUCAAUCCCGGGUUGAGCAAAAUGGCGCGGGAGAAGGAGAUGCAGGAGUUCACCCGUAGCUUCUUCCGAGGCCGCCCGGACCUCAGGUGCCCAGGGGGUUGGAGAUGGGGUUGGAAAGGGCGCGGGUGGGACGGGACUCCGUCCUGACACCAUGUCCCUGCAGCACGCUUACGCAUUCCAUCGUGCGGCGGAGGUACUUGGCUCACUCCGGCCGCAGCCACCUGGAGCCCGAGGAGAAGCAGGCACUGAAGCGGCUGGUGGAGGAGGAGCUGCUGAAGAUGCAGGUGUGCCGGGCCGGAGCCUGGGCCGCGGGAGGCGGAGGCGGGGCUUGCUGCUGAGGAGGAGGGGCCUGACGGGGCGCGGUGAGCGCAGCCUUGGUGCAUA